CGAGUGAAGCGGCAACAGCUCAAAUUUGAAAUCUGGCCUCUUUGGGGUCCGAGUUGUAAUUUGUAGAGGAUGUUUCGGGCACCGCUCCGGUUUAAAUUUCUUGGAACAGAAUGUCAAAGAGGGUGAGAACCCCGUCUUGGACCGGCAGUAGGGCCCAUGUGAAACUCCUUCGACGAGUCGAGUUGUUUGGGAAUGCAGCUCAAAAUGGGUGGUAAAUUUCAUCUAAAGCUAAAUAUUGGCCAGAGACCGAUAGCGCACAAGUAGAGUGAUCGAAAGAUGAAAAGCACUUUGAAAAGAGAGUUAAACAGUACGUGAAAUUGUUGAAAGGGAAGCGCUUGCAACCAGACUUGCGCGCGGCGGUUCCCCCUUCCUUCUGGUUGGGUUAUUCCGCCGUGUCCAGGCCAACAUCGGUUCUGGGGGUCGGUUAAAGGCCUGGGGAAUGUAUCUACCCUUCGGGCGUAGACUUAUAGCCCCGGGUGUCAUGCGACCUCCCGGGACCGAGGAACGCGCUUCG
Molecule: ribosomal RNA, 514 nt
Filed under: Exophiala phaeomuriformis
Lineage: Eukaryota; Fungi; Ascomycota; Eurotiomycetes; Chaetothyriales; Herpotrichiellaceae
Description: eukaryotic LSU rRNA
Rfam family: Eukaryotic large subunit ribosomal RNA
Source: RNAcentral